Molecule: ribosomal RNA, 498 nt
Filed under: uncultured bacterium
Lineage: Bacteria
Description: partial 16S ribosomal RNA
Rfam family: Bacterial small subunit ribosomal RNA
Source: RNAcentral
GACGAACGCUGGCGGCGUGCCUAAUACAUGCAAGUCGAGCGGACGAUUCGAAAGCUUGCUUUUGAAUCGUUAGCGGCGGACGGGUGAGUAACACGUGGGCAACCUGCCCUGUAGACGGGGAUAACACCGAGAAAUCGGUGCUAAUACCGGAUAACACGAAAUGUCGCAUGACGUUUCGUUGAAAGGCGGCGCAAGCUGCCGCUACAGGAUGGGCCCGCGGCGCAUUAGCUAGUUGGUGAGGUAACGGCUCACCAAGGCGACGAUGCGUAGCCGACCUGAGAGGGUGAUCGGCCACACUGGGACUGGGACACGGCCCAGACUCCUACGGGAGGCAGCAGUAGGGAAUCUUCCGCAAUGGACGAAAGUCUGACGGAGCAACGCCGCGUGAGCGAAGAAGGCCUUCGGGUCGUAAAGCUCUGUUGUUAGGGAAGAACAAGUAACGUAGUAACUGACGUUACUAUGACGGUACCUAACGAGAAAGCCACGGCUAACUACGUG